GACAGAGGGUGCAAGCGUUGUUCGGAAUUAUUGGGCGUAAAGGGCGCGUAGGCGGCCGCGUAAGUCAGGUGUGAAAUCCCGGGGCCCAACCCCGGAAGUGCGCCUGAUACUGCGUGGCUUGAAUCCCGGAGAGGGUGGUGGAAUUCCCAGUGUAGAGGUGAAAUUCGUAGAUAUUGGGAGGAAUACCGGUGGCGAAGGCGACCACCUGGACGGUGAUUGACGCUGAGGCGCGAAAGCGUGGGGAGCAAACAGG
RNAcentral lists this ribosomal RNA (253 nucleotides) under uncultured bacterium. RNAcentral describes it as "partial 16S ribosomal RNA". It matches the Rfam family "Bacterial small subunit ribosomal RNA", at positions 524 to 776 of the family's 1533-position model. The record is from RNAcentral.